This 462-nucleotide ribosomal RNA is filed under the name uncultured Desulfuromonas sp. RNAcentral describes it as "bacterial SSU rRNA". It matches the Rfam family "Bacterial small subunit ribosomal RNA", at positions 923 to 1382 of the family's 1533-position model. The record is from RNAcentral. Lineage: Bacteria; Pseudomonadati; Thermodesulfobacteriota; Desulfuromonadia; Desulfuromonadales; Desulfuromonadaceae.
GCACAAGCGGUGGAGCAUGUGGUUUAAUUCGACGCAACGCGAAGAACCUUACCUGGGCUUGACAUCCCGAUCGCACCUUAUGGAAACAUAGGGGUCGAGUUCGGCUGGAUCGGUGACAGGUGCUGCAUGGCUGUCGUCAGCUCGUGUCGUGAGAUGUUGGGUUAAGUCCCGCAACGAGCGCAACCCUUGUCCUUAGUUGCCAGCAUUCAGUUGGGCACUCUAAGGAGACUGCCGGUGUCAAACCGGAGGAAGGUGGGGAUGACGUCAAGUCCUCAUGGCCCUUAUGUCCAGGGCUACACACGUGCUACAAUGGCCGGUACAAAGGGGCGCAAGACCGCGAGGUGGAGCAAAUCCCAAAAAACCGGUCUCAGUUCGGAUUGGAGUCUGCAACUCGACUCCAUGAAGUUGGAAUCGCUAGUAAUCGCGUAUCAGCAUGACGCGGUGAAUACGUUCCCGGGCCUU